RNAcentral lists this ribosomal RNA (253 nucleotides) under uncultured bacterium. RNAcentral describes it as "partial 16S ribosomal RNA". It matches the Rfam family "Bacterial small subunit ribosomal RNA", at positions 524 to 776 of the family's 1533-position model. The record is from RNAcentral.
UACGAAGGGGGCUAGCGUUGUUCGGAAUCACUGGGCGUAAAGCGUACGUAGGCGGACCGUUAAGUCGGGGGUGAAAUCCUGGGGCUCAACCUCGGAACUGCCUUCGAUACUGGCGGGCUCGAGUCCGGGAGAGGGGCGUGGAAAUCCCGGUGUAGAGGUGAAAUUCGUAGAUAUUAGGAAGAACACCGGUGGCGAAGGCGGCGCCCUGGUCCGGUACUGACGCUGAGGCGCGAAAGCGUGGGGAGCAAACAGG